This 26-nucleotide non-coding RNA is filed under the name Cricetulus griseus (Chinese hamster). The record is from RNAcentral. Lineage: Eukaryota; Metazoa; Chordata; Mammalia; Rodentia; Cricetidae.
AAUUUUUGGUGGAUUAGAUACUGGGG